GACAUAGGUGGCGAACGUUAUCCGGUUUUAUUGGGCGUAAAGGGCGCGUAGGCGGGCCUCCAAGUCCGGGGUGAAAUCCUCCAGCCUAACUGGAGAAGAGCCUCGGAGACUGGGGGCCUCGAGGGAGGUAGGGGCAAGCGGAACUAUGGGUGGAGCGGUGAAAUGCAUUGAUAUCCAUAGGAACUCCGGUGGCGAAGGCGGCUUGCUGGACCUCUUCUGACGCUGAGGCGCGAAAGCCAGGGGAGCAAACGGG
This 253-nucleotide ribosomal RNA is filed under the name uncultured bacterium. RNAcentral describes it as "partial 16S ribosomal RNA". It matches the Rfam family "Bacterial small subunit ribosomal RNA", at positions 524 to 776 of the family's 1533-position model. The record is from RNAcentral.